RNAcentral lists this ribosomal RNA (522 nucleotides) under uncultured bacterium PHOS-HE08. RNAcentral's name for it is "bacterial SSU rRNA". It matches the Rfam family "Bacterial small subunit ribosomal RNA", at positions 97 to 613 of the family's 1533-position model. The record is from RNAcentral. Lineage: Bacteria; Pseudomonadati; Pseudomonadota; Betaproteobacteria.
GGCGAACGGGUGAGUAAUACAUCGGAACGUGCCCAGUAGUGGGGGAUAGCCCGGCGAAAGCCGGAUUAAUACCGCAUACGACCUACGGGUGAAAGCGGGGGAUCGCAAGACCUCGCGCUAUUGGAGCGGCCGAUGUCAGAUUAGCUAGUUGGUGGGGUAAAAGCCUACCAAGGCGACGAUCUGUAGCUGGUCUGAGAGGACGACCAGCCACACUGGGACUGAGACACGGCCCAGACUCCUACGGGAGGCAGCAGUGGGGAAUUUUGGACAAUGGGGGCAACCCUGAUCCAGCCAUGCCGCGUGCGGGAAGAAGGCCUUCGGGUUGUAAACCGCUUUUGUCAGGGAAGAAACGGUCUGCGCUAAUACCGCGGGACUAAUGACGGUACCUGAAGAAUAAGCACCGGCUAACUACGUGCCAGCAGCCGCGGUAAUACGUACGGGUGCAAGCGUUAAUCGGAAUUACUGGGCGUAAAGCGUGCGCAGGCGGCUUUGCAAGACAGAUGUGAAAUCCCCGGGCUCAAC